Molecule: ribosomal RNA, 490 nt
Filed under: uncultured soil bacterium
Lineage: Bacteria
Description: bacterial SSU rRNA
Rfam family: Bacterial small subunit ribosomal RNA
Source: RNAcentral
AGGACGAACGCUGGCGGCGUGCUUAACACAUGCAAGUCGAGCGAGGCCCGCCUUUCGGGGUGGUGUUCUAGCGGCGAACGGGUGAGUAACACGUGGGCAACCUGCCCUCAGCUCUGGGAUAACUCCAAGAAAUUGGGGCUAAUACCGGAUAUGACUGCUGACCGCAUGGUCUGGUGGUGGAAAAGAUUUAUCGGCUGGGGGAUGGGCCCGCGGCCUAUCAGCUUGUUGGUGGGGUAGUGGCCUACCAAGGCGACGACGGGUAGCCGGCCUGAGAGGGUGACCGGCCACACUGGGACUGAGACACGGCCCAGACUCCUACGGGAGGCAGCAGUGGGGAAUAUUGCGCAAUGGGCGGAAGCCUGACGCAGCGACGCGCGUGGGGAUGACGGCCUCGGUUGUAACUCUUCUAGCAGGACGAAGACGAAAGUAGACGGUACGUGCAGAAGAAAGACAACCGGACCAACCUAACCGUACGACCACGACAGACCGC